Long non-coding RNA from Nymphaea colorata (pocket water lily), 3520 nucleotides. RefSeq lists it as uncharacterized. Lineage: Eukaryota; Viridiplantae; Streptophyta; Magnoliopsida; Nymphaeales; Nymphaeaceae. The transcript is spliced from 3 exons. The record is from RefSeq and is a predicted model, not a curated record.
GUUCCCCUUCGUUAGGGUGACUUCCAUUUUAUGGCACUCCAAUGUCGACAGUGUAAAGCUAAUUCUGGUCUGGCCUUUUGAAAUUCCUCAUUUGUGAAAAUCCACCAUAUGAACGUGAACAUACGGAUUUAUACAUCGCUGCCGCUCUUCAACUACGAACGCAUAGAUCUGUGCUUCUUAGAGAUGGAGGAAGCAUUUGAAGUGAAACAAUCCGGUGAAGACCCGCAUGUCGUCUGUCGGACAUCCGACGGAGCUGCAUCUAUCAGUGAUCAUGGAUAUAUGGUCACCGAUGGCGGAGAAGAUGUUGUUGGCGUCCAUGGCCUGGCGGUCGGCGAAGCAGGCAUUGCUGUACUCCUCCCCAUCGAACCAGGAGGACGGCCUCCGACAUGUUGGCGUCCAUGUGCUACUGUGCAUUACCAUCCUAUUCUGAACAAAACUGCCAUUAUGCUGCUCGGCUUUCUUUGCAUUGGCUGUAGCUCUAUAUGAGUGCAAAGCCCACAGUGACACAGUCUGCAAUCAUCACCUCUUUUCUUACACAAUUGACAUAUUACCACACCAUUCUGAAAAUUAUAAUUUUGCUUAGCAGCACGGUCAGCAUUUCGUGGUAAUGUUGACUUCCCUUUACAGACCAAUUAUUUCUACCUCUGCCUCUUUCAGUUUCUCCUCUUCAUGAAUAGCUGUCCUUUACCAUUAUUUCCAAUUUAUCUAUAUUCAAUACUUCAUGAUUGUUGACUUGCUGUUCACCUUUUCAAUGCAUGUGAAGCUUCACAGUGUAAUAGAAUUACGGGACAUUAUGCUUCGUACCUAGGCAUUCAUCCAGCCAUGAAUAACUUCCCCUGUUUCUUUUCUCAUUAAAUGCUCUAAGAUAGAUAAUAAGAGCUCUUUGGGUUCCCCCAACUUUGUGUUUUUAGGGUCUAGAUUUCUCUAUAUGUGUAUCUGUGUGCAUAAAGAAGUUAAAAGCUUACAAUAACAUACAGAUAUUCAUAAUAUAUGAACUAUAACUGAAAUAUAUAUAUAUAAUACAAAUCAUCACAAAGAAUGGUGAAAAAAAUAUUUGCAUAAGAAGAAGAAACUACUUCAGGUUGCAGAGGAGAAAAAUGAAGAAAAUCUGCCUAGGCAGCUGAAGAAGAAAAAAAAAAAAGAAAGUAGAAGAAGAGAAAAAAGACAGCUUGGUCGUUUCAAAAAAAAGCUUAAGUUGUUCAGUGCCUAGGUGAGCCGAGGUUCCCUGGGCAAUUGCUUAAGCGUUUCUUAUUGACAGCUUGCCUUUCAGCAGCUAGUCUGGAGACCACCAAGCCUAGGGUCUUUCUUGAGCCUAGGCAUGUUUUGAACGACAGUGUCAAACUGGUAAUUCUUUAUGUUGCAUUCCCCACAUAGGUUGCUUCUUGAGAUCUCCGCUGGUUCAAGUAAUGAACAAUUGAAAUAAACUUGGGAACAGCCGUUUGAUGCUCAAGAAAACAGUCUGCAUGUCUGUGUAAGUAGCGUAUCAUAACUCCUAAUGGAUCUGUGUCUCCUCUCACUGGGAUAGGAGUCUGCAUCGUUUUUGGCUGGUUUGGUUAUAUUCCUAGACUGAUGUGUCUUGGUAUCUCUUCAUGAGUAUUCUUUUGCAACAUGGUUUAUUAUCAUUUCUUUUUUGCUGGUACUUACUUGUAUAUGACGAGAACAGCAGAAGGAGAAAUUCUGUUAUUUGAUACCCUCUCCAUGGAAGGAGAGAAAAUGUCGGAGGCACAUCUGGUGUCUGUUACGGCAUUGGAGUUUUCCCAUGAGUCCAGUUUUUCAUCCAUCAUGGGAAUCAUUCACAAGGAAAUUUGUAACUUAAGUACAGAAACAUAUAUAUUUUAUUUUCAUGGUAUAUUUAUGCAUUCAGGGCAUUAGUUUCUGCUUCUCGGUGAGCCCCAGUGCAGGAAUAACAGUAAUUGAGGAUAUGAAAUCAAGUAUGUGUUUCACUAUUUAGUUUGUAUGUGUUAUUUCUCAAUGUUGUCGCUUACCGUGUCUUCACUAAUUCUCUACAGUUCGAGCUAUUUUGAUAUUGUUUAUGUCAUUCUACUCACCCUAUUGCUAUUAUAUAUAUAUAUAUAUAUAUAUAGAUUACUUCUUGUACAAAUCACAUUAGUCAUAAAAAAGAAUGACGAAAAGAACAUUUGCAUAGGACAACAAAGCUACUUCAGAUUGCAGAAAAAAGAGGAAGGAAAAAAUUGCCUGUACAGCUGAGGAAGAGGAGGGAAGAGUGAAAAAAGAGAAAAAGAUAUCUUUGUCAUUGAAGAAAAAAAGCCUUAAUUCUUCAAUGACUAGGUGAGCCGACGCACCUAGACAGUUGCAUUAGCAUUCCCAAAUGACAGGUUGUCUAGAACAGCUGGUCUGGGCGACCAGCCAGGACUAAGGCCCUAGGCAAACCUAGGCACGUUUCUAACAAUAUUGUCAGACUCAGGCUAUCAUAUAAUUCCUUAUGUUCCAUAGGCCUCAAUACUCCCCACGCCACAUAUGUUACCUUGUUGACAUCUCUUCUGGUUCAAGUCAAGAUUAAUUGAGAUCUACUCUGAAGCAGCUGUUUGAUGCUCAAAAGUGGAGCAUCAUAACUCCUAAUGGACCACUAGGAUAUAGGUAUGCAGCCUUUUGGCUGGUUUUGUUUCCUAGAUUGAUGUGUCUCAAACUCCCUUCAUGAGACUACGCUUUUGGGAUGUGGUUUAUUAACAUUGCUUUUUACUGGUAUUUCCUUGUUUGUGAUUGGAACAGCAGAAGAGGAUAUUUGAUGUCUGAUACCCUCUCCAUGGAAAGAUCGAACAAGUCGGAGAGUCGGCGAGGCAUGUCUGCUGUUUGUUACAGCAUUUGAGCCUUCUCAUGAGUCCACGUGUCAUCCAUCACCGAACUCAUGCAAAAGGAAGUUUAUACCUUGGUACAGGACCAUAUACUUUCUUUUCAUAGUAUAUUUAGCUCCACUGCCUGAAUAAUAGUAAUUGAUUAUGAAUCAACAAGUAUGUAUUUUCACCAAUUGGUUACUAUAUGUCAUUUCUAAAUAGUGUAUUUCCUUUGUCGACAUACUGUGUCUUUACUAAUGGUCCGUAGCUCUCAGCUAUUUAACUUUUUUCUUUUUUCAUUCUACCCAUCCUAUUGGUGUUGAUCUUGAAGAAUACUAUUGGGAGAUGCCAAUGGAAGACAUUGAACAAUGUGGUUAAUGACUUGGUGGUGAAAACAGAUAGACCCGGGUGUUUAGGUGUCGUUGAGAUUAUGAUCCUAUGACUGCAUAUAGGCCCUUGAUCGUGUUUCCCGUUCUUACUGUGCCAAUUCGUUCAUAUUUGAUGCACUACUGCACUUUGUUGACAACCUAGUGAAGCACUUGCGUGGCAGUCUUGUAUGUGUCUGGCGAUCACUAGGUUUCUAAUCUUUUCCCUUGUUUUCUUAAUAAAGCAAUUUGUUCUGUUGAAAUGGUUGAAUACUUGUCCUUGCCUUGUGCCCAAGUUGUAGUCUUGUUGCACGGACAAUUUUUGAUGCCAGACCAUAUACCGACAUUCUUUAUUCUGGUUUA